ACUACGGGAGGCAGCAGUGAGGAAUAUUGGUCAAUGGGCGCGAGCCUGAACCAGCCAAGUAGCGUGAAGGAUGACUGCCCUACGGGUUGUAAACUUCUUUUAUAAAGGAAUAAAGUGAGGCACGUGUGCCUUUUUGUAUGUACUUUAUGAAUAAGGAUCGGCUAACUCCGUGCCAGCAGCCGAGGUAAUACGGAGGGUCCGAGCGUUGUCCGGAUUUCUUGGGUUUAACUGGUGCGUAGAGGGGUUGUUAAGUCAGUUGUGAAAGUUUGCGGCUCAACCGUAAAAUUGCAAUGGAUACUGGCAGUCUUGAGUACAGUUGAGGUAGGCGGAAUUCGGGGUGUAGCGGUGAAAUGCUUAGAGAUCACGAAGAACUCCGAUUGCGAAGGCAGCUUACUAAACUGCCACUGACAUUGAUGCUCGAAAGUGUGGGUAUCAAACAGGAUUAGAUACCCGGGUAGUC
This 460-nucleotide ribosomal RNA is filed under the name uncultured bacterium. RNAcentral's name for it is "partial 16S ribosomal RNA". It matches the Rfam family "Bacterial small subunit ribosomal RNA", at positions 338 to 795 of the family's 1533-position model. The record is from RNAcentral.